Molecule: ribosomal RNA, 468 nt
Filed under: uncultured bacterium
Lineage: Bacteria
Description: partial 16S ribosomal RNA
Rfam family: Bacterial small subunit ribosomal RNA
Source: RNAcentral
GACGAACGCUGGCGGCGUGCUUAACACAUGCGAGUCGAACGGAAAGGCCCUGCUUUUGUGGGGUGCUCGAGUGGCGAACGGGUGAGUAACACGUGAGUAACCUGCCCUUGACUUUGGGAUAACUUCAGGAAACUGGGGCUAAUACCGGAUAGGAGCUCCUGCUGCUUGGUGGGGGUUGGAAAGUUUCGGCGGUUGGGGAUGGACUCGCGGCCUUUCAGCUUGUUGGUGGGGUAGUGGGUUACCAAGGCUUUGAUGGGUGGCCGGCCUGAGAGGGUGACCGGCCACAUUGGGACUGAGAUACGGCCCAGACUCCUACGGGAGGCAGCAGUGGGGAAUAUUGCACAAUGGGCGGAAGCCUGAUGCAGCAACGCCGCGUGCGGGAUGACGGCCUUCGGGUUGUAAACCGCUUUCGCCUGUGACGAAGCGUGAGUGACGGUAAUGGGUAAAGAAGCACCGGCUAACUACGUG